This 257-nucleotide ribosomal RNA is filed under the name uncultured Rhizophagus. RNAcentral's name for it is "partial large subunit ribosomal RNA". It matches the Rfam family "Eukaryotic large subunit ribosomal RNA", at positions 359 to 630 of the family's 3401-position model. Lineage: Eukaryota; Fungi; Glomeromycota; Glomeromycetes; Glomerales; Glomeraceae. The record is from RNAcentral.
GAAAGAUGAAAAGAACUUUGAAAAGAGAGUUAAACAGUACGUGAAAUUGUUGAAAGGGAAACGAUUGAAGCCAGUCGUACCUUCGGGUAAUCAGCCUUUUCGGGUGCGAUUCUGUGGGGUUUGAGGAGCUUAACACCUUCAUGCUUUGCAUAUUCGUGCUCUUGGGUGUACUUGCCCGUGUGGUUGGUUAACAUCAAUUUCGGGCACCAUAAAAUGGCUGGAGGAAUGUAGCUUCGAUCUUGUAUUGAAGUGUUAUA